Molecule: ribosomal RNA, 280 nt
Filed under: Chthoniobacterales bacterium
Lineage: Bacteria; Pseudomonadati; Verrucomicrobiota; Spartobacteria; Chthoniobacterales
Description: partial 23S ribosomal RNA
Rfam family: Bacterial large subunit ribosomal RNA
Source: RNAcentral
UUGAUCAAGCUACAAAGAGCACAUAAUGGAUGCCUUGGUGCCAAUAGGCGAUGAAGGACGUGAUAAGCUGCGAUAAGGCACGGAGAGCGGCAAAUACGCUUUGACCCGUGCAUUUCCGAAUGGGGUAACCUGAUCGAGGUAAUACUUGAUCGAGUUUCUGUGAAUACAUAGCAGAAACAUCGCGACACCCGGUGAAGUGAAACAUCUCAGUAACCGGAGGAAAAGAAAGCGAAAGCGAUUCCGUAAGUAGUGGCGAGCGAAAGCGGACCAGGCCAAACCA